GGUGUUAGAAGAGAUACUCUGAGCGAAGACCAUGGGAAAUGGUAAUGGGUUGAACUUUAUCAGUUUUGAAUUUCCUUUAUAUGUGUAUAGAUCAUCUGAUGUUCCAAGCCCACGCACGGUGAUUCCUACUGGAUUAACAAAUACCGAGAAGACAUGGAUUUUUAAGAAACUGGAG
Chinchilla lanigera (long-tailed chinchilla) is the source of this 175-nucleotide long non-coding RNA. RefSeq lists it as uncharacterized. The transcript is spliced from 3 exons. Lineage: Eukaryota; Metazoa; Chordata; Mammalia; Rodentia; Chinchillidae. The record is from RefSeq and is a predicted model, not a curated record.